This 654-nucleotide ribosomal RNA is filed under the name Triticum aestivum (bread wheat). RNAcentral describes it as "partial small subunit ribosomal RNA". Lineage: Eukaryota; Viridiplantae; Streptophyta; Magnoliopsida; Poales; Poaceae. The record is from RNAcentral.
AUGGUCCAAGCAGGCCUCAAGGAUGAAUUUGAUGCGUAUGUACGUAAUGCUGAUCUUGAGGACUUCGUAUCAGAUAAGUGCCGACAAUACUAUUACCUCACUGACUCCUUUGUGAGGAGGUUUAAAUUUUCAUCCACGCGCAACACUCACACUGUUUUAUUUGAUCUCUAUGAUAAAUAUUAUAGCAUAGACCUUGAAGAUUUUAAUACUACUUGUAAAAUCCCACAGUGGGGCAACUUUAGUGAACCUCGCAAAUCUGAAUAUAAAGAUUUUCUCGCUGGUAUCACUGUGGGAGAAACUAGAGAAAUCACACAAGCUACCAUAGGGAGCAUUCUUUUCCCUUCCAUACAUUACUUUGCUCUCUUUAUAGGUAGAUGCAUUAACGGUAAAGAUGAGGUUUGUCACAUGUGCGUUCCAGAUCUUAGUGUUCUCAAGAGUGCGGUAUUAGGUGAUAAACAAUAUAACUUGGGGGCCAUUAUUGCACGGAGGUUACAUCUUAAUGGCAAAAGUGGGGAUUUGUUCGGUGGAAUUUAUGCAAUUGGUUUAGUUGAUUAUCUUGGUGUACCUAUAAAUGGAAAUGAUAUUGAGCUGCCACCUGCUUAUCUAGAUUAUAAUGCUAUGGUUCUCCAUCAGUUUCUUGAGAGGAACGAAUAG